This 412-nucleotide ribosomal RNA is filed under the name Modisimus leprete. RNAcentral's name for it is "partial 16S ribosomal RNA". The record is from RNAcentral. Lineage: Eukaryota; Metazoa; Arthropoda; Arachnida; Araneae; Pholcidae.
AUUGUUAUAAGAAUUAAUUUAUAAUAAAACCUGCUCAAUGUAUAAUUAUAAAUAGCUGCAAUUUAAUUGUACUAAGGUAGCAUAAUCAUUAGCUUUUUAAUUUAAAGAUAGAAUGAAAGGUCAAACGAAAUAUAAUCUAUUUCAUUAAUUUUAAUUAAUUUAAAAUAAAAGUAAAAAUUCUCUUAUUAUAAGAAAGACGACAAGACCCUAAUAAACUUAAUAAUUUAGCUGGGGAGGCUAAAUAAUAACAACUUAAUUAUAAAAUAUACUAAACUUCAAUAAAAUACAGAUAAAGUUACUAUAGGGAUAACAGCGCAAUAUUAGAAUAAAGACCUUAUUAAAUCUAAAACUUACGACCUCGAUGUUGAAUUAAUUUAACUUUUUAACGAAAAAUUUUCAAAAGAAGGUCUGU